CCUACGGGUGGCAGCAGUGGGGAAUUUUGGGCAAUGGCCGAAAGGCUGACCCAGCGACGCCGCGUGCGGGAGGACGCCCCUCGGGGUGUAAACCGCUGUCAGAGGGGACGAAUCCCCGACGUUCGAACAGGGCGUCGGGUUGACGGUACCCUCAGAGGAAGCGCCGGCUAACUCCGUGCCAGCAGCCGCGGUAAGACGGAGGGCGCGAGCGUUGUUCGGAAUCACUGGGCGUAAAGCGCGCGCAGGCGGGACGGGAAGUCGGGAGUGAAAGCCCGGGGCUCAACCCCGGAGUUGCUUCCGAAACUCCCGACCUGGGGACCGGUAGGGGCGGGUGGAAUUCCCGGUGUAGCGGUGGAAUGCGUAGAGAUCGGGAAGAACACCGGUGGCGAAGGCGGCCCGCUGGGCCGGAUCCGACGCUGAGGCGCGAAAGCGUGGGGAGC
RNAcentral lists this ribosomal RNA (440 nucleotides) under uncultured bacterium. Its description in RNAcentral is "bacterial SSU rRNA". It matches the Rfam family "Bacterial small subunit ribosomal RNA", at positions 338 to 769 of the family's 1533-position model. The record is from RNAcentral.